UGGCCGUGCUGCAGCUCCGGCAAAGUCAGUCAGUGUGGCCGCGGCCGUUGGCGGGUGCAGAGGUGAUACUCAACGGCGGAACUCUGAUCAAUUUUAAGUGUGUCGACAAUCUCAGGACCCGCCUCGCCGCGCCUUGCCCCGCCCCGCCCUGUGCCCCCUCCGCUACUAGUCCCGAACAGUCCCUAGCAGUGCCCCAGCCCGACGAGCCGCCCAGUGCCCCCGUGCCACAGCCGCGCCGGGCAGCUGCCGUGCAGGCCAUGGCGCGCCGCGUGUAGCCGCUGCGGCGCGUGGCAGGGCAGGAGGCGGUCUUUGACUCCCCAUGUGAAGGCGACGACCCGCGGCCCGAGUCACUGCAGCGUCGCCAGGAUCCCCGCCCGCCCUCAAGAGGUCUCGCCGAGGGAGGGACUGCCGGGGUGUCUGAGGCUCCUGACGGGACAGUGGACAGGAGCAUUUAUCUGGCUGGCGGCGGCUCUGCAGGGGGGCGCCCGGGGGCAGAUAAAGGCCUGUCGCCCCUUAUCGACAGGUAGGGCCCCGCCACGAUCAAUCUCUCCUCACACCUGUCUCCCUGCGGCACAUACACAUCGAUCACACACUCCCCUUGCUUCCCCUCCUUCCUCCUCCUCCUCCUCCUCCUUCUCCUCCUGUUACGUCCUCGCUUCUUGAUCCCUUCUUCUUCGUGUACUCCGGCUGACACUCCUUCGUCUGUUUCUAUUUCUUCUUC
Molecule: long non-coding RNA, 721 nt
Organism: Eriocheir sinensis (Chinese mitten crab)
Lineage: Eukaryota; Metazoa; Arthropoda; Malacostraca; Decapoda; Varunidae
Exons: 3
Source: RefSeq, a predicted model, not a curated record